UUUAGAUGAGAAAAGAAUUUAGAAGGAGAUUGAAAAGAAAAGAAGAGAGUCUCAUAGAAUAGGAGAAGAGCACGAGAAUAAUAUCAAUUUGAUCAAUGCCCCUCUUGCUCUUUCCAGGACAUAGUUAUAGGAUGCUCACGUGCCAUCACAGCCUUUCAGCUUCAUUAUCUCCAAAUAAAUCUCGUACGUUCAUGUGUUAUAGUUCUAUUCUUUAUUUUUCACUUAGAUCAUUUAGUCAGGUCGAGACAAAGUGGAUCUCAAGUAAAUUCUAUAUUUUAAAUAAAGUAAUGUGGCAUCACGAUCCGUGGUUCCAAACCACGAGUUGUAGCUUGGGUCGUAAUCAGGUUUGUUCCAGAUCUUAAAACUAUUUUUUGACCUAACCCGAAUCUCCAUUUUUCUUCCCUCUUUGCCCAAUAAAGCUAACAAACACACGAUACACUCCCUCCACUUUUAAAUACAAAGACCAUCAACCUUUCUCAAACUCCAUAGAAAAAAGAAAUGAAACUUCAUCAAUUCAAUUACUUCAAUACAAUUCUAUCACGUCACCUGAUUUCCUUUCUCCAAGUUGCGUCAGUUAUUUCCCCAAAAGUUCAUCGAUUAUUUUUGUCAUGUCAAGCACUCGCGUCUUUCCAACGGUUGUUCACUUCACACUUGAACAUAUAUUAGUUAAGGUAUGAAUUUAUUUUUAUCAUCAGUUAGAGAUUUAGUCAGUGCUACAUAGUGCAAAUAGAUCAACAAAAAUUAUAUUCUUCUCUCCAAAUUCUUCAAGAAAAUAUUUGCCCAUAAAUAUUUGACCCUUCGAUAUAUGAAGUUCAAAAUAAAUGAAUAUGCUUCUUGGAAUCUUUUGCAAGUGGCAGGGAAAACACACCUUUUGUAAGAUUUGAUAGACAUAAAUGUUCUUUAAGUGUCUCAAAAGCGUUCCACUGGCUUAAAGAAAAAGCAUUAUAAGUUGAUCGUAAAAUUCAUGUUGUAUACUUGGGGCUACCAGAUGAAAAAAUGACGAGUUAUGCUCAGAGUCACUCAAGUAACAACACUUCUUUAAAAAGGAUACGUACGGAUCAAAUUGAAAUAGAUGUGAAAGACCUCGAGUUUGAGGUGCUAUAGCAAUCAAGAAAUAGAAUUCCUUACCAUGAAUACAACACUCCACUUCCUUAGUGAUAAGAAUAAACUAACAAAAGUUGCCUAGUUGAUAAUAUAAAAGGUGUAGUGCAAGUUUCUCCAUCAACUAGAAAAACUAUAUAAGUAACAUUUGAGGUGACUUGGAUUUCAUAUACUCGACUCCAAGAGAGAAUAGGGAAGAAUGAUGUCACAUAUUCCGUGAAGAUGCAUGGUUGAUGAUACAAAUAUUGAAAUGUUUUAUUUUUAUAAAAUGCAACCCAACAACUUCUUUCUCCAGGCCAAUCAGCAUACCUCAUGGGUCAAAAGUGAAAUGCAAACCAUACACCUUUAUUCUUACUAUUGCAACUCCAUCUCUAGUUUAGCAAAGUCAUUAGUAUUUAAAAAAGGAUAUGUAGGCCAACCACAUCAACUAUAGAUGUACCCCUCGAAUAUCCAGACAUCCAAAUUGUACCCACGCUGAAAGUCUCUAAUUUAAAACUUGAGUUUUGAUUGAUCAAUUCACUAGUAGCCCCGUUCAAGUAAUUUAUAACCAUGUAGCUUUCCCAUGUUUAAGUCUAUUACCGAAGUUAAGAUCCCCAUAGUAUAUUUCAACAAGGAGGAUAAAAUCAAAUGAUCAAGGUUGACAUUGUUUAAAAACAUGUUGUUCUGCGAGGUGCAACACCUCAAAUGUGAAUUAGGUGUAGCUAAAGCCUAAUAUGAGCGUCAUGAGCUUAUAAGGUCCUAAAAUGACUAAAAAUAGUGUUAAGAGUCACUAUAUAAAGUUUGGAAGUGAUUGUAGGUCAAACGCCCAAGAACGUCCAAGACGUCCGAAAACUAGUUGAAGUUGAACUAGUGUGUUGUAGUGUUUCGUAGUGGAGUUAUCGAGGAUGGUUUGACGGUAAAAAUUGAGUAUAGAUGGUUCAUAUGCGUAGAAUGACAUGUAAAGGAUUGAAACAUCCAAGACAACGCCCCAGGGACCAGCCUAAGGGUCCCCGAGGAGGACCCAAUAUAGGGCAGUGAAGUUGCCGGGCAACCUAGAUAUGAAACAUCCAAGAACAAUGCCUCCACGACGCGCAGUAAGUGCCCAGAUUUGAUCGCGUCGUUUUUAAGUCAAAUUAGAAUUGGUUAAACGGUCCAAUAGUUGCAGGGGUAUUUUGGGUGCUUUAGGGAUUAAUUAUUGGAGGUUAUUUUAGGUAUUUUGAAGAGUAGUACAAUAGCCAAUAAGACCCUAGACUCCAAAUCAUAACUUUUCUCUCCCAAAAUAUUCCGAAAACCAUCAUUGAAGAAGAAGAGAAAUUGAAGGCUGCUUUAGGACGAAUUCACCAAGGUUUCAAGAUGGAUUUAAGGCUCUAAUCUAAGGGUCUUGAGAAGAUUGAGGUUGCUUGAAAGGUAGAGUUUCCAAGAAGAGAAGAUUGGUGAGUCCUCAUAUCAUCCGAGGACACCACCACUAUGAUGCCUUUUAUAUUCUUUCAUGUUUAGACUUUUUAUGGGUUGUGACCCAAGACUAUUGUACUCAUGAUGUCAUAGAUGGUUUUUGAGAUAUAUGUUAGAAGUUUCAUGAAAUGAUUCCGCAUUAUGUUUUUGAAAGAAAAGUUUUAAUUC
Long non-coding RNA from Solanum lycopersicum (tomato), 2700 nucleotides. RefSeq lists it as uncharacterized. Lineage: Eukaryota; Viridiplantae; Streptophyta; Magnoliopsida; Solanales; Solanaceae. The record is from RefSeq and is a predicted model, not a curated record.